GACGAACGCUGGCGGCGUGCUUAACACAUGCAAGUCGAACGGAAAGGCCCUGCUUGCAGGGUACUCGAGUGGCGAACGGGUGAGUAACACGUGGGUGAUCUGCCCUGCACUUCGGGAUAAGCCUGGGAAACUGGGUCUAAUACCGGAUAGGAGCCAUUUUUAGUGUGAUGGUUGGAAAGUUUUUUCGGUGUAGGAUGAGCUCGCGGCCUAUCAGCUUGUUGGUGGGGUAAUGGCCUACCAAGGCGGCGACGGGUAGCCGGCCUGAGAGGGUGGACGGCCACAUUGGGACUGAGAUACGGCCCAGACUCCUACGGGAGGCAGCAGUGGGGAAUAUUGCACAAUGGGCGCAAGCCGGAUGCAGCGACGCCGCGUGGGGGAUGACGGCCUUCGGGUUGUAAACGCCUUUCGCUAGGGACGAAGCUUUUUGUGACGGUACCUAGAGAAGAAGCACCGGCUAACUACGUG
RNAcentral lists this ribosomal RNA (465 nucleotides) under uncultured bacterium. RNAcentral describes it as "partial 16S ribosomal RNA". It matches the Rfam family "Bacterial small subunit ribosomal RNA", at positions 28 to 507 of the family's 1533-position model. The record is from RNAcentral.